This 78-nucleotide unclassified non-coding RNA is filed under the name Flavobacterium segetis. RNAcentral describes it as "Flavo-1 RNA". Lineage: Bacteria; Pseudomonadati; Bacteroidota; Flavobacteriia; Flavobacteriales; Flavobacteriaceae. The record is from RNAcentral.
UGAUAGACCUGAUCGUAACUUUAUCCUUUAUGUCCUCUAUUUAAGGGCAUAAAGAUAGAGUGAAUAAUAGGAGCUAUA